GACGAACGCUGGCGGCGUGCUUAACACAUGCAAGUCGAACGGACAGACAGAGAGCUUGCUCUCUUGAAGUUAGUGGCGAACGGGUGAGUAACGCGUAAUCAACCUGCCCUUCAGAGGGGGAUAACAACGGGAAACCGUUGCUAAUACCGCGUACGAUUCAUGAACGGCAUCGUUUAUGAAUGAAAGGUGGCCUCUAUGUAUAAGCUAUCGCUGAAGGAGGGGAUUGCGUCUGAUUAGCUAGUUGGAGGGGUAACGGCCCACCAAGGCAAUGAUCAGUCGCCGGUCUGAGAGGAUGAACGGCCACAUUGGGACAGAGACACGGCCCAAACUCCUACGGGAGGCAGCAGUGGGGAAUCUUCCGCAAUGGACGAAAGUCUGACGGAGCAACGCCGCGUGAGUGAUGAAGGUCUUCGGAUUGUAAAGCUCUGUUAAUCGGGACGAAAGAGUUCUGCGUGAAUAAUGCAGAAAAGUGACGGUACCGGAAUAGAAAGCCACGGCUAACUACGUGCCAGCCGCCGCGGUAA
Molecule: ribosomal RNA, 524 nt
Filed under: uncultured bacterium
Lineage: Bacteria
Description: partial 16S ribosomal RNA
Rfam family: Bacterial small subunit ribosomal RNA
Source: RNAcentral